AACGGCAGCGCGGGCUUCGGCCUGGCGGCGAGUGGCGAACGGGUGAGUAAUAUAUCGGAACGUACCCAGAAGUGGGGGAUAACGUAGCGAAAGUUACGCUAAUACCGCAUACGAUCUACGGAUGAAAGCAGGGGAUCUUCGGACCUUGUGCUUUUGGAGCGGCCGAUAUCUGAUUAGCUAGUUGGUGAGGUAAAGGCUCACCAAGGCGACGAUCAGUAGCUGGUCUGAGAGGACGACCAGCCACACUGGAACUGAGACACGGUCCAGACUCCUACGGGAGGCAGCAGUGGGGAAUUUUGGACAAUGGGCGCAAGCCUGAUCCAGCAAUGCCGCGUGAGUGAAGAAGGCCUUCGGGUUGUAAAGCUCUUUUGUCAGGGAAGAAACGGGAGUGGCUAAUAUCCAUUCCUAAUGACGGUACCUGAAGAAUAAGCACCGGCUAACUACGUGCCAGCAGCCGCGGUAAUACGUAGGGUGCAAGCGUUAAUCGGAAUUACUGGGCGUAAAGCGUGCGCAGGCGGUUUUGUAAGUCUGACGUGAAAUCCCCGGGCUUAACCUGGGAAUUGCGUUGGAGACUGCAAGGCUGGAGUCUGGCAGAGGGGGGUAGAAUUCCACGUGUAGCAGUGAAAUGCGUAGAGAUGUGGAGGAACACCGAUGGCGAAGGCAGCCCCCUGGGUCAAGACUGACGCUCAUGCACGAAAGCGUGGGGAGCAAACAGGAUUAGAUACCCUGGUAGUCCACGCCCUAAACGAUGUCUACUAGUUGUCGGGUUUUAAUUAACUUGGUAACGCAGCUAACGCGUGAAGUAGACCGCCUGGGGAGUACGGUCGCAAGAUUAAAACUCAAAGGAAUUGACGGGGACCCGCACAAGCGGUGGAUGAUGUGGAU
This 885-nucleotide ribosomal RNA is filed under the name Massilia sp. RNAcentral's name for it is "bacterial SSU rRNA". It matches the Rfam family "Bacterial small subunit ribosomal RNA", at positions 65 to 946 of the family's 1533-position model. The record is from RNAcentral. Lineage: Bacteria; Pseudomonadati; Pseudomonadota; Betaproteobacteria; Burkholderiales; Oxalobacteraceae.